GAUGAAGAACGCAGCGAAAUGCGAUAAGUAAUGCGAAUUGCAGAAUUUCCGUGAGUCAUCGAAUCUUUGAACGCACAUUGCGCCCUCUGGUAUUCCGGAGGGCAUGCCUGUUCGAGCGUCAUUAUCACCCCUCAAGCCCGGCUUGUUGUUGGUUGUAGCGGGUCACACCGCUCUACCCAAAGAUAAUGACGGCGUCUGUGAGGACUCCUGUACACUGAGCUUUCGGGCACGUACUAGGUUAGAACCGCAGACCCGGUCACCGUUUCCCCUUGUGGGAGACACCACUUUUUACCAAGGUUGACCUCGGAUCAGGUAGGGAUACCCGCUGAACUUAAGCAUAUCAAUAAGCGGAGGA
RNAcentral lists this unclassified non-coding RNA (355 nucleotides) under soil metagenome. RNAcentral's name for it is "partial contains 5.8S ribosomal RNA, internal transcribed spacer 2, and large subunit ribosomal RNA". The stretch from base 1 to 121 matches the Rfam family "5.8S ribosomal RNA", at positions 35 to 154 of the family's 154-position model. The record is from RNAcentral.